AGAAAGCAAAAGGGAUGCCGGUGGUGGCAGAUGCUUCCUCCUGGCCAAAUCCCAAAUCCCACCCUCAGCACCCACACCCUGAGCAGUGGGCAGGAGAGGCCUGAAAACGUCUGUACAAAUGGCUUCCGAGAAGCCCUGGAGAUAAAGGAGCCAGAGGCAGCCACACAUGGUUCCCAGAAGCUGAAUGCUGCGCAGACGACAGGAAUGACUUCACCCAUCCUGCUUCCACCCGCCAUAGCAGUGACCAAAGCAGCACUGGGACCACAGCUGAGCACCUCAGAAGAUAAGUCCUGGGGUGAUUCUUGUCAUCUCCGUGAAAAGGAGAAGACAAAAAGGCAGAGGCUGCUGCUUGAGGAUCCCUUCACCUGGGCUGCAUAGCUCACCCAUGCUGACCAACUUCCCCAUUUCAAGCUUCAGACUCACAGCCGCGCUAGUUAGGGUACCACUUGUUCAGACAGCUGUUUUCAUUCACAUCUCCAAAGGUCCUCUACCUUAGAAGAAGAAAGAAAGAGGGAAAGAGAAAUAAAAGAGAUUAAUUAAGAACACUGGGGCCAGGCGCAGUGGCUCACACCUGUAAUCCCAGCACUUUGGGAGGCUGAGGCAGGCGGAUCACCUGAGGUCAGGAGUUGGAGACCAGCCUGGCCAACGUGGCAAAACCCCAUCUCUACUAAAAAUACAAAACUUAGCCAGGCAUGGUGGUGGGUACCUGUAAUCCCAGUUACUUUGGAGGCUGAGGCAGGAGGAUGGCUUGAACCUGGGAGGCAGAGGUUGCAGUGAGCCGAGAUCAUGCCAUUGCACUCCAGCCUGAGUGACAAGAGACUCUGUCUCAAAAAUAAAAACAAAAAACAAAAAAACAAAA
Molecule: long non-coding RNA, 859 nt
Organism: Homo sapiens (human)
Lineage: Eukaryota; Metazoa; Chordata; Mammalia; Primates; Hominidae
Source: Ensembl